This 253-nucleotide ribosomal RNA is filed under the name uncultured bacterium. RNAcentral's name for it is "partial 16S ribosomal RNA". It matches the Rfam family "Bacterial small subunit ribosomal RNA", at positions 524 to 776 of the family's 1533-position model. The record is from RNAcentral.
UACAGAGGGUGCGAGCGUUAAUCGGAAUUACUGGGCGUAAAGAGUGCGUAGGUUGUAUGAUAAGUUGGAUGUGAAAGCCCUGGGCUCAACCUAGGAACUGCAUCCAAAACUAUCAAACUAGAGUAUAGGAGAGGGUAGUGGAAUUUCCGGUGUAGCGGUGAAAUGCGUAGAUAUCGGAAGGAACACCAGAGGCGAAGGCGACUACCUGGACUAAUACUGACACUGAGGCACGAAAGCGUGGGUAGCAAACAGG